Molecule: ribosomal RNA, 484 nt
Filed under: uncultured bacterium
Lineage: Bacteria
Description: partial 16S ribosomal RNA
Rfam family: Bacterial small subunit ribosomal RNA
Source: RNAcentral
AUUGAACGCUGGCGGCAUGCUUUACACAUGCAAGUCGAACGGCAGCGCGGGCUUCGGCCUGGCGGCGAGUGGCGAACGGGUGAGUAAUGCAUCGGAACGUGCCCAGUAGUGGGGGAUAGCCCGGCGAAAGCCGGAUUAAUACCGCAUACGACCUGAGGGUGAAAGCGGGGGACCGAAAGGCCUCGCGCUAUUGGAGCGGCCGAUGUCGGAUUAGCUAGUUGGUGGGGUAAAGGCUUACCAAGGCGACGAUUCGUAGCUGGUCUGAGAGGACGACCAGCCACACUGGGACUGAGACACGGCCCAGACUCCUACGGGAGGCAGCAGUGGGGAAUUUUGGACAAUGGGGGCAACCCUGAUCCAGCCAUGCCGCGUGCGGGAAGAAGGCCUUCGGGUUGUAAACCGCUUUUGUUCGGGAAGAAAUCCUCUGGGCUAAUACCCCGGGGGGAUGACGGUACCGGAAGAAUAAGCACCGGCUAACUACGCG